CCGGCUUGAGCACUCGUGGUAAACUAGCAUGUCCAUAUUGCAUGGAGUAUACAAAGGCUUUUAGAUUAUAUCAUGGGGCAAAAAAUUCCUGGUUUGACUCCCAUCAGAUGUUUUUACCGAAUGACCAUGCCUUUAGGAGGAAUAGAAAUUCUUUCAAGAAGGGGGAAGUGGAGAUGAAUGAUGCACCACCAUAUCUGACGGGAGCAGAAGUUUGGAAUAGAAUCAGGGGUUAUCCUAAAAUAACUUAAAAUGGUGCACCAAGAAUUGAUGGAUACGGUCAGUGGCAUAAUUGGACGAAAAGAAGCAUCGUUUGGGAUCUACCCUAUUGGAAGGAUAAUUUGUUAAGGCAUAAUCUUGAUUUCAUGCACAUUGAAAAAACUUUCUUUAACAACAUCUUCAAUACUAUGAUGAAUGUUGCGAGGAAGACAAAAGACAACGAAAAGGUACGAAUGGAUAUAGGUUUGUACUGUAGACGAAAAGAUUUGGAGCUAAAAAGUCAUACCAAUGGAAACAUGUACAAGCCAAAAGCAAAUUAUACACUUUCAGCAGAUCAAACAAAACAAGUCUAUCAUUGGGUAAAAGAUCUUAGGAUGCCCGACAGAUAUUCUUCAAACUUGUCAAGGUGUGUUGAUGUUAAUAGGGGAAAGCUCAUUGAGAUGAAAAGCCAUGACUGCCAUGUGUUUAUGGAAUGCUUACUUCCCAUAGCGUUUAGUUCUUUACCAACUCAUGUUCUCAAUCCCAUUACAGAGAUAAGUCAUUUCUUCAGAGAUUUGUGUUCUACAACAUUGAAAAAGGAUGACCCAGUGAAGAUGGAAGAAAAAAUUCCAAUCAUUUUGUGCAAGAUGGAGAUAAUAUUUCCUCCCUCAUUCUUUGAUUCUAUGGAACAUCUCCCUAUCCAUCUUCCAUAUGAGGCAAGACUUGGUGGACCAGUCCAGUAUAGGUGGAUGUACUUAUUUGAAAGGUUCAUGGGAUAUGCUAAACGUUCGGUUAAGAAUAAAGUCAGGGUUGAAGGAUCUAUUUGCGCAUCAUACUUGCACAGAGAGACUACUCAUUUUUGUUCCCACUAUUUCAAAAACUUCAUGUUAACACCAAAAAGCACUAGAAAUGAAGUAAACACUGAAAUAGAGAGCCUUCUAACAACAUUAUCAGUGUUUCACCAACCUGGUCGUCCUUCUGGGAGGGAAUCAACACAUUGGUUAAGAGAUGAAGAAUUGAGAUCAGCUCAUGUUCAUGUUUUGAUCAAUUGCGAUGAAGUUCAACCUUACCUUGAGUAAGCCUCCAAAAUCCCAAAUAUUUCCAAAAUAUUUCAUUUCAUAUAUUUUUUGUUGUCCUUGAUCCAAUCUCGUCAUACAUGUCGACAACUCAUUCUUACAUACUUAUCAACUAUCUGAGUCCAACAGUUCAGCAUACAUACAUUCCAAUUUCCCAUUAUGGUUCAGGCAAAAAGUUCAUGAUGAGCCUUUAAGUGUGAGGAACCAACAUCUUAGAGAUUUAUCACUUGCUCCAUUAAGGUGCGUAAAGGAAUGNCACACCUUCUUUGCUAAUGGAUACAAAUUUCAUACCCAUACAUGGAGCCAGGGCAAGAGGACAAUAAAUAGUGGGGUUCAUGUUAAAGGGGUAAUAGAAGGAGGUCAAGAUGAUUUCUAUGGUGUGAUUAAACACAUCUAUGAGUUGGAAUACAAUUCAAAAACCACAGAAAAGAAAAUUGUA
This is an RNA transcript of Vigna radiata var. radiata (mung bean), 1710 nucleotides long. RefSeq lists it as uncharacterized. Lineage: Eukaryota; Viridiplantae; Streptophyta; Magnoliopsida; Fabales; Fabaceae. The record is from RefSeq and is a predicted model, not a curated record. The transcript is spliced from 3 exons.